CAGUUGAUUAAAAUAACUUAGAGAGAAGUAUAUAAUAUAAUCUUGUAAUAAAUAAUUUUAUCAAGGUGAAAUUUGGAAAAUGUUUUUAAAAAUAUUAUAGAUAGUAAUCACAUAAAGUGAAAUAAUAAAAUAGACAAUAAGAAAGAAAAGCUAAUAGAUUUGGCAGUUUAAAUAUCCUUUUAGGGGAAUCUAUCCUUUCAUGGAGUUUACACCUUAAAAUUUACUUAUUUUAGGAGUCUUGUAUACCUCUGUUUUAAAAUAUUGAAUGAUCGUUAGAAUAUGGAUAUAAUAAUGCAGGUCAAGGUGCAGAUGAUGAGUAAGGUUGAGAUGGAUUACAAUAAAUAGAUUUAUGAUGGAAUAAGUUUUGAGAGAUUUUGUGAAGGUGGACUUAAGAGUAAAAUAAGAUUAAUAAGUUUAAUUGAGUGGGAACUUUUAU
RNAcentral lists this ribosomal RNA (436 nucleotides) under Metasiro americanus. Its description in RNAcentral is "partial 12S ribosomal RNA". Lineage: Eukaryota; Metazoa; Arthropoda; Arachnida; Opiliones; Neogoveidae. The record is from RNAcentral.